This is a long non-coding RNA of Amphimedon queenslandica, 282 nucleotides long. RefSeq lists it as uncharacterized. The record is from RefSeq and is a predicted model, not a curated record. Lineage: Eukaryota; Metazoa; Porifera; Demospongiae; Haplosclerida; Niphatidae. The transcript has 4 exons.
CACACCCUACUAAGCACACUGUCGUUUUUUGUUUUUGGUUUCUUUUCAAAGCUCUUUGCUUUCUUGCGUCUCUAUACACUCAUUUAAGAACUUAGAUCUAGUGUUUACACUUGUCGUUGAAAGUUCUAAUAUUUUCCAGUGACUUGUUUGGAUUGUUCUAUUCCUGCCAUUGGUUUAUUUUAAACGUUCAUAUUUGAACAUUCUUAUUGAGCUAAAGUCAUUGUUUCUGGUCUUGUGUCAGCCUUCUUCACAUUUGCCCCUGGACUUAUAAUGUCUAUCAGU